Molecule: ribosomal RNA, 368 nt
Filed under: uncultured organism
Description: bacterial SSU rRNA
Rfam family: Bacterial small subunit ribosomal RNA
Source: RNAcentral
CGGAGGGUGCAAGCGUUAUCCGGAUUCACUGGGUUUAAAGGGUGCGUAGGUGGGUUGGUAAGUCAGUGGUGAAAUCUCCGAGCUUAACUUGGAAACUGCCAUUGAUACUAUCAGUCUUGAAUAUUGUGGAGGUCAGCGGAAUAUGUCAUGUAGCGGUGAAAUGCUUAGAUAUGACAUAGAACACCAAUUGCGAAGGCAGCUGGCUACACAUAUAUUGACACUGAGGCACGAAAGCGUGGGGAUCAAACAGGAUUAGAUACCCUGGUAGUCCACGCCCUAAACUAUGGAUACUCGACAUACGCGAUACACAGUGUGUGUCUGAGCGAAAGCAUUAAGUAUCCCACCUGGGAAGUACGAUCGCAAGAUUG